Molecule: ribosomal RNA, 626 nt
Filed under: Mycobacterium sp. Ri2Ps_5156
Lineage: Bacteria; Bacillati; Actinomycetota; Actinomycetes; Mycobacteriales; Mycobacteriaceae
Description: bacterial SSU rRNA
Rfam family: Bacterial small subunit ribosomal RNA
Source: RNAcentral
UGCAGCGACGCCGCGUGAGGGAUGACGGCCUUCGGGUUGUAAACCUCUUUCAGCAGGGACGAAGCGCAAGUGACGGUACCUGUAGAAGAAGCACCGGCCAACUACGUGCCAGCAGCCGCGGUAAUACGUAGGGUGCGAGCGUUGUCCGGAAUUACUGGGCGUAAAGAGCUCGUAGGUGGUUUGUCGCGUUGUUCGUGAAAACUCACAGCUCAACUGUGGGCGUGCGGGCGAUACGGGCAGACUUGAGUACUGCAGGGGAGACUGGAAUUCCUGGUGUAGCGGUGGAAUGCGCAGAUAUCAGGAGGAACACCGGUGGCGAAGGCGGGUCUCUGGGCAGUAACUGACGCUGAGGAGCGAAAGCGUGGGGAGCGAACAGGAUUAGAUACCCUGGUAGUCCACGCCGUAAACGGUGGGUACUAGGUGUGGGUUUCCUUCCUUGGGAUCCGUGCCGUAGCUAACGCAUUAAGUACCCCGCCUGGGGAGUACGGCCGCAAGGCUAAAACUCAAAGAAAUUGACGGGGGCCCGCACAAGCGGCGGAGCAUGUGGAUUAAUUCGAUGCAACGCGAAGAACCUUACCUGGGUUUGACAUGCACAGGACGCCGGCAGAGAUGUCGGUUCCCUUGUG